This is a small nuclear RNA of Molossus molossus (Pallas's mastiff bat), 106 nucleotides long. Lineage: Eukaryota; Metazoa; Chordata; Mammalia; Chiroptera; Molossidae. The record is from RefSeq and is a predicted model, not a curated record.
AUGCUCACUUCGGUAGCACAUAUACUAAAAUCGGAACCAUACCGAGAAGAUUAGCAUGCCCCUGUGCAAAGAUGACACACAAAUUCGUGAAGUAUUCAGUAUUUUU